CCUACGGGAGGCAGCAGUGGGGAAUAUUGGGCAAUGGGCGCAAGCCUGACCCAGCAACGCCGCGUGAAGGAAGGAGGCCCUCGGGUUGUAAACUUCUUUUGUCAGAGACGAGGAAAGUGACGGUACCUGACGAAUAAGCCACGGCUAACUACGUGCCAGCGGCUGCGGUAUUACGUAGGUGGCAAGCGUUAUCCGGAUUUACUGGGUGUAAAGGGAGUGUAGGCGGGACUGCAAGUCAGAUGUGAAAUUCCAGUGAUCACCCCUGGAACCGGAUUUGAAACUGUAGUUCUUGAGUGAUGGAGAGGCAGGCGGAAUUCCGUGUGUAGCGGUGAUAUGCGUAGAGAUACGGAGGAACACCAGUGGCGAAGGCGGCCUGCUGGACAUUAACUGACGCUGAGGCGCGAAAGCGUGGGGAGCAAACAGGAUUAGAUACCCCAGUAGUC
Molecule: ribosomal RNA, 443 nt
Filed under: uncultured bacterium
Lineage: Bacteria
Description: partial 16S ribosomal RNA
Rfam family: Bacterial small subunit ribosomal RNA
Source: RNAcentral